UGCCCAGCAACUCCUAUCCCUAACUCCACGCGGUACCGGCCGGAAACUAUGAGCAACCUUAGGGAAGAUCGGGUAACCAACCCCGGUGGGAACUUUGGUCGUAGGCUGACAGGGAAGG
Molecule: non-coding RNA, 118 nt
Organism: Aedes albopictus (Asian tiger mosquito)
Lineage: Eukaryota; Metazoa; Arthropoda; Insecta; Diptera; Culicidae
Source: Rfam